AGUGAACGCUGGCGGUAGGCCUAACACAUGCAAGUCGAACGGCAGCACAGUAAGAGCUUGCUCUUACGGGUGGCGAGUGGCGGACGGGUGAGGAAUACAUCGGAAUCUACUUUUUCGUGAGGGAUAACGUAGGGAAACUUACGCUAAUACCGCAUACGACCUACGGGUGAAAGCAGGGGAUCUUCGGACCUUGCGCGAUUGAAUGAGCCGAUGUCGGAUUAGCUAGUUGGCGGGGUAAAGGCCCACCAAGGCGACGAUCCGUAGCUGGUCUGAGAGGAUGAUCAGCCACACUGGAACUGAGACACGGUCCAGACUCCUACGGGAGGCAGCAGUGGGGAAUAUUGGACAAUGGGCGAAAGCCUGAUCCAGCCAUACCGCGUGGGUGAAGAAGGCCUUCGGGUUGUAAAGCCCUUUUGUUGGGAAAGAAAAGCAGCAGGUUAAUACCCCGCUGUUCUGACGGUACCCAAAGAAUAAGCACCGGCUAACUUCGUG
RNAcentral lists this ribosomal RNA (492 nucleotides) under uncultured bacterium. Its description in RNAcentral is "partial 16S ribosomal RNA". It matches the Rfam family "Bacterial small subunit ribosomal RNA", at positions 29 to 507 of the family's 1533-position model. The record is from RNAcentral.